GAUGAACGCUGGCGGCGUGCUUAACACAUGCAAGUCGAACGGGAUCCAAGGGGUGCUUGCACUUUUUGGUGAGAGUGGCGAACGGGUGAGUAACACGUGAGUAACCUGUCCUUUUCUUUGGGAUAAGCAUUCGAAAGGGUGUUUAAUACCUUAUGUUCUGUCUGCCUCGCAUGGGGUGGGUGGGAAAGGCUUUGGCCGGAUUUGGGUGGGCUCGCGGUCUAUCAGCUUGUUGGUGGGGUGAUGGCUUACCAAGGCUUUGACGGGUAGCCGGCCUGAGAGGGUGGGCGGUCACAUCGGGACUGAGAGACGGCCCAGACUCCUGCGGGAGGCAGCGGUGGGGGAUAUUGCACAAUGGGCGAAAGCCGGAUGCAGCGACGCCGCGUGGGGGAUGGAGGCCUUCGGGGUGUAAACGUCUUUUGCUCUGAACAAGGCAUGCCAGUGGGUGUGUGGAGUGUAGGGGUUGAUUAGCGCCGGCUAACUACGUG
Molecule: ribosomal RNA, 485 nt
Filed under: uncultured bacterium
Lineage: Bacteria
Description: partial 16S ribosomal RNA
Rfam family: Bacterial small subunit ribosomal RNA
Source: RNAcentral